AUUUACUUAUCGGCAUAACAUGUUAUUUUUUGGCUAGCUUAGGAAACUGGUGCAUGACAGGUUUACAUAUAGCAUUUUUCAAAUGAAAAAUAGAGCAGCUAUGUUUUGCGUAUAUUUUGUGAUUACUGAAAAAGUAUAUAUCUAUCCGUCACUCGGGUCAAUUUCCUAUAAUAAUACGGGGAGCCUGAUUGAAAAGCAGGGUCUAUUGCUGCUAAAGAUUGCAAUUGCUUAUAAGCAGUAUAUUGCGUGUUUUUGAAUUAUUUUUUUUUGUCUGUUUUUUAUAUUUUGGAUUUCAAUCCGAUCAAGCUCUAGACAAUCUAACACCAAGUCAUCAAUUGAAGUGACAUCUAUUGGGAAUGUCCCUUGAGGUUACUUAGAGUCCCUCGAGUUUAACAAAUGAAAGUGAAAAUAUUUGGUGCAUGGUAGUCGAAAGUGUGAUGGUUAACUGAGGUGAGAGAAUAGUUGUCAAUAAUUCGUUAGUUGGUUUGAAAUCCAUAGUGGCUAAUCUUGCUGGUAGGAAAAUUGAAAUAUUGAAAUAGACAUUGGUGACACUUCCACUUACAUCAUAGCCAAGUUAGCAUCAAGUAAUAUAAAAAAUUGGUUUCUGUGGCAAGAUCUAUAGAUACAUUAUGUACCUGUUCAUUACAAAGUCUCUUAAUAGUCGGUUCAAUCCAUGUUUUACUAGAGCAAUUCCAAUUUUUCCAAAACUGAAAUUGAACACGAGUUUAGUGCACAUUUGAAUAUGUAUUUUUGUGGUGUAGUUCUUUUAUUUGUUUGAUUUAAAUGUUUGUUUCCUAUUUUCUCCAUAACAGCAUCAUAGUACUUUUCUUUGCAAAAGAAGAUGACAGUUACUAUCAAUUUCCAGCAUGGUCUUGGCCAGAAGUUUAGACAACCAUCUGGAACUGGUAUCACUCUUUCAAUGUUCGAGGAAUCCGAGUUAUUAAAAGUGGGCGACCUAGACGUCUAUCCUGUAGCAGCUAAAGCAGAUGCAUCUUCCGGUGACAUGAAUGGAACAAAUGAAACUCCAACAUCUGGUAAUAAAACAAACACAAACUCUCAGAUAACUCAAGAAGUGUUUGAGAAGGAGAAAGGAGAAUUCCGGGUGAAGGUUGGUAAGCAGAUAUUGUGGGUGAAUGGAAUGAGAUAUGAGCUGCAGGAGAUAUAUGGUAUUGAAACUUCAGUAGAGUGACUUGGAUGUGAAUGACCCCGGAAAAGAGUUAUCUGCUUAUCAGAACCUCGCGACACAACUGUCCUUCCUUAUCGCCACAUGUGCAUGUGUAGCGGAUGUGCAAAGGUUUUAAGGUUCCAUACAAAUAGAUGUCCAAUAUGUAGACAACCAGUUGAAUAUAUUGUCUCUAUCUGUGUCCUCUUUUUUGUCAAAAAAUAUAUAUGAAUUUUUAUUCAAAAUCCAUGAAUGGAUAUCUAUUGUGCUUUUGGUGACCCUUAGUCCCUAGAUUCAAUUUUGCAGUGAUUUGAAUUAUGAUCUUAACGACCCUAUUCCCUAUUGUUUCAUAAGUUUUGUAAGCAAUGGAUGCCUCAAUGAGACAAUGGCGUCAGAGUAAAAUGCAUUAUGACCCGAAUCGUUAAUAUGUCAGUGAGAAGAAUUUUUUUCA
Long non-coding RNA from Trifolium pratense (red clover), 1613 nucleotides. RefSeq lists it as uncharacterized. NCBI's taxonomy places the organism in Eukaryota, Viridiplantae, Streptophyta, Magnoliopsida, Fabales, Fabaceae. The record is from RefSeq and is a predicted model, not a curated record. The transcript is spliced from 2 exons.